This 555-nucleotide long non-coding RNA is filed under the name Hordeum vulgare. RNAcentral describes it as "long non-coding RNA (HVUL_LNC020928)". The record is from RNAcentral. Lineage: Eukaryota; Viridiplantae; Streptophyta; Magnoliopsida; Poales; Poaceae.
CCAAAUCCAAAGCAAUAUAAUUCAGUUGACUGCAUAAAUCAAGCACUUACGACCAAUUACCCAAAUCCAAAGCAAUAUAAUGAUAUUUUUUUCCAUUAAAUGGGGUCAAAAGCAAUAUACAUUUGCCUUGACAUCAUAUCUUAGUAGUACAAAAGAAUCUGAGAUCUCGGUAGGCACAGUACUAGGCACUAGCACAAAAGAAUAGCGACAGCAAUAACACCAAAUCGACACAUCUUGGAUGGAGGCACCGGUCGCCCGCCGCUCCAGCGGGUGAGCGCGGAGGCUCGCCGCUCAGACAUGGUAGGCGUCGGCCCAGUUCUUGGCGCGGCGGAGGUCGUCCUCGCCGUCGUCGUCCUCGUCAAGGCGCAGGGAGAAGGCGAGCGCGAGGGCGGCCCACUCGAGGACGAAGAUGGCGGUGCCGAGCCCGCCGACCAUCUUGAGGAUGACGGCGCCGUCGUCGUCGCGGACGUAGGACUGGAGCUCGGCGAGGAAGUCGGCGGUGCGGGUGAAAGCGAGGAGCGCGACGGCGCCCUGGAAGAUGGCGGUGAGCGCNNN